AGGUCUUGUGAUCGGGCUGAUCCCUGACGACGCAACGCCGCGUGAAUGAUGAAGGCCUUCGGGUUGUAAACCCCUUGUCGGCGGGACGAUAUGGACGGUGCCUAAAAAACAAGCUGCGGCUAAUUCCCUGCCAGCGCCCCCGUUAUAUUUUUUUACCCCCGCCAAAAUAUAUAA
Molecule: ribosomal RNA, 174 nt
Filed under: uncultured bacterium
Lineage: Bacteria
Description: partial 16S ribosomal RNA
Source: RNAcentral